UACGGAGGGGGCUAGCGUUGUUCGGAAUUACUGGGCGUAAAGGGCGCGUAGGCGGCCUGCUAAGUCGGACGUGAAAUCCCUCGGCUCAACCGAGGAACUGCGUCCGAUACUGGUGGGCUUGAAUCCGGGAGAGGGAUGUGGAAUUCCAGGUGUAGCGGUGAAAUGCGUAGAUAUUGGGAAGAACACCGGUGGCGAAGGCGGCCAUCUGGACCGCAACUGACGCUGAGGCGCGAAAGCGUGGGGAGCAAACAGG
This 253-nucleotide ribosomal RNA is filed under the name uncultured bacterium. Its description in RNAcentral is "partial 16S ribosomal RNA". It matches the Rfam family "Bacterial small subunit ribosomal RNA", at positions 524 to 776 of the family's 1533-position model. The record is from RNAcentral.